RNAcentral lists this ribosomal RNA (550 nucleotides) under uncultured bacterium. RNAcentral describes it as "bacterial SSU rRNA". It matches the Rfam family "Bacterial small subunit ribosomal RNA", at positions 355 to 896 of the family's 1533-position model. The record is from RNAcentral.
UAGGGAAUCUUCCACAAUGGGCGCAAGCCUGAUGGAGCAACACCGCGUGAGUGAAGAAGGGUUUCGGCUCGUAAAGCUCUGUUGUUAAAGAAGAACACGUAUGAGAGUAACUGUUCAUACGUUGACGGUAUUUAACCAGAAAGUCACGGCUAACUACGUGCCAGCAGCCGCGGUAAUACGUAGGUGGCAAGCGUUGUCCGGAUUUAUUGGGCGUAAAGCGAGCGCAGGCGGAAGAAUAAGUUUGAUGUGAAAGCCCUCGGCUUAACCGAGGAACUGCAUCGGAAACUGUUUUUCUUGAGUGCAGAAGAGGAGAGUGGAACUCCAUGUGUAGCGGUGGAAUGCGUAGAUAUAUGGAAGAACACCAGUGGCGAAGGCGGCUCUCUGGUCUGCAACUGACGCUGAGGCUCGAAAGCAUGGGUAGCGAACAGGAUUAGAUACCCUGGUAGUCCAUGCCGUAAACGAUGAGUGCUAAGUGUUGGGAGGUUUCCGCCACUCAGUGCUGCAGCUAACGCAUUAAGCACUCCGCCUGGGGAGUACGACCGCAAGGUUG